UGACGUCAAAUCAGCAGGCCCUAUGUCCAGGGCUACACACGUGUUACAAUGGCCGGUACAGAGGGCAGCUACCUGGAGACAGGAUGCGAAUCUCCAAAGCCGGUCUCAGUUCGGAUCGGAGUCUGCAACUCGACUCCGUGAAGCUGGAUUCGCUAGUAAUCGCGCAUCAGCCAUGGCGCGGUGAAUACGUUCCCGGGCCUU
RNAcentral lists this ribosomal RNA (201 nucleotides) under uncultured Sphingobacteriales bacterium. RNAcentral describes it as "partial 16S ribosomal RNA". It matches the Rfam family "Bacterial small subunit ribosomal RNA", at positions 1180 to 1382 of the family's 1533-position model. The record is from RNAcentral. Lineage: Bacteria; Pseudomonadati; Bacteroidota; Sphingobacteriia; Sphingobacteriales.